GUGUAUUUUGUUGGAAACUUAACAGCAGAAAAGUGCGAAGAAAACGGAAAAACUUGACAAAGUUGCUUAAAGAAACUCUUAAGUUGGUCUUUCAAGAUCAAUUCAACGUUUUGACCAUCAGUAAUGGCUCCCCCUUUCUUUGACUGGACUCUACAACCCCAUACCCAAGGGUUAGUCAAACAUGUGGCCGGGGGGCCACAUGCGGCCCUCCAAUCGAUUACAUGGAGCCCGCCCACGAAAGUGCGGCGCCACAGUUGCCAAGCAAGACCGGCCCCCUCCUGACCAGACUACAUGCUCAUUGGCCCCCAGGUCAUUUCAGAUUGACACCCCUGCUCUAAAUGGUAAAAGGUCUGUAUUUACAUCAUGCUUUUCUAGUCUUGAUGACCACUCAAAGCUUCUUUACACUACAAUUUUGCCAUUGACAUAUUCAUUAUGCAGUGCUUUUUCUAUCACUCAUCUUUUAAACCCAUUCACCCCGAGGGUACUCGACAGGAAUCAAACCCACAACCUUUGAGUUGAAAGACAGCUUGCUCAACCACUCAGUGACCUCU
This is a long non-coding RNA of Solea solea (common sole), 551 nucleotides long. RefSeq lists it as uncharacterized. Lineage: Eukaryota; Metazoa; Chordata; Actinopteri; Pleuronectiformes; Soleidae. The record is from RefSeq and is a predicted model, not a curated record. The transcript is spliced from 4 exons.